GGAUUGCAGGCUGCAACUCGCCUGUAUGAAGUCGGAAUUGCUAGUAAUCGCGGAUUAGCAUGCCGCGGUGAAUACGUUCCCGGGCCUUGUACACACCGCCCGUCACACCAUGAGAGUCGGGAACACCCGAAGUCGGUAGUCUAACCGCAAGGAGGGCGCCGCCGAAGGUGGGCUUGAUAAUUGGGGUGAAGUCGUAACAAGGUACC
Molecule: ribosomal RNA, 206 nt
Filed under: uncultured bacterium
Lineage: Bacteria
Description: partial 16S ribosomal RNA
Rfam family: Bacterial small subunit ribosomal RNA
Source: RNAcentral